GGCGGACGGGUGAGUAACACGUGGGUAACCUACCUAUAAGACUGGGAUAACUUCGGGAAACCGGAGCUAAUACCGGAUAAUAUAUUGAACCGCAUGGUUCAAUAGUGAAAGACGGUUUUGCUGUCACUUAUAGAUGGAUCCGCGCCGCAUUAGCUAGUUGGUAAGGUAACGGCUUACCAAGGCAACGAUGCGUAGCCGACCUGAGAGGGUGAUCGGCCACACUGGAACUGAGACACGGUCCAG
RNAcentral lists this ribosomal RNA (243 nucleotides) under uncultured Staphylococcus sp. Its description in RNAcentral is "partial 16S ribosomal RNA". It matches the Rfam family "Bacterial small subunit ribosomal RNA", at positions 97 to 334 of the family's 1533-position model. The record is from RNAcentral. Lineage: Bacteria; Bacillati; Bacillota; Bacilli; Caryophanales; Staphylococcaceae.